This is a long non-coding RNA of Poecilia latipinna (sailfin molly), 850 nucleotides long. RefSeq lists it as uncharacterized. Lineage: Eukaryota; Metazoa; Chordata; Actinopteri; Cyprinodontiformes; Poeciliidae. The record is from RefSeq and is a predicted model, not a curated record. The transcript is spliced from 4 exons.
CGCCCACCUCCUUGUUUAGCAGUUGGUAUGUUCCUACUGCAGAACUACUGCGGUGACGGUGAGUUUUGUAACAUGUCAAAACAUCCCAAGUUAUCAGGUGCAAAGGAAUAAAAAGAAAUAAAAGAGGGAACACGUGACAAAAACAGAGAUGUGUUACUGAGGUAUUUAAAUCCCACCUCUGGACCUUUUGCAACACCAUCAACACCUGUUGCCACCUCGCAGGAGCUUAUUCAUCAGAAAUGAAGGCUACACCAACAAACAGGUGAACUGAUCAGGCAUACAGCCAAGCAGUGCCAAGAGAAAUAAAUGGUGUUGCUGGACUGAUUGCUUUGCAAACAGCAACCAAUAGCAGUAAAGUGCAUGACAUGUGAACUCAGCAGAAUAAGAGGAUGUGUGUACGGAUGACAGAGCUAUGACCUUGGCAGUGUGCUAAUGAAAGACUUGAUCACAUAUAACCUUUGAUCACAAAAGAGGCUGUUGUAACAGUACAGAGGGGAAAUCCAGUGAAGCUUACACAUCAGCACAUAUGAUAAAUUAAUCGGUUUUCAUUUAGCUGGGUUAUGAUGGGAUUUCCCCAAUUCUUGACUUCUAUGGACGGAGUUACCCACCAGGACAUCCGAUGCCUACUGGCACGUGAAGAACGAUGUGCUCUUCAUAAUCUCACAGUGAAAGAAUUAUUCCUGCACUGCUGGUCUUUGGAUUAAGCUUAGUUUCUGAGUUAGACAUUACACAAGGGACUCUGACAACAUCUUGCAAAAGUGUUCAUAUAAUAUUAACUUUUUUGUAUCUUAUAAAGUUCCUGUAUGUGAUAUACCAACACAAAUGAGUGCAAAAAGUAGAAGUAGAAGUA